GACGAACGCUGGCGGCGUGCUUAACACAUGCAAGUCGAGCGGUAAGGCUCCUUCGGGAGUACACGAGCGGCGAACGGGGGAGUAACACGUGCGUAAUCUGCCCUUCACUUCGGGAUAACCACCGGAAACGGUGGCUAAUACCGAAUACGACCAGUAUUCGCAUGAGGUUGUGGUGGAAAGUCUUUUCGGUGAAGGAUGUGCUCGCGGCCUAUCAGCCUGUUGGUGGGGUAAUGGCCUACCAAGGGGUCGACGGGUAGCCGGCCUGAGAGGGUGACCGGCCACACUAGGACUGAGACACGGCCCAGACGCCGACGGGGGGCAGCUGUGGGGAAUAUCGGACGCUGGGCGAAAGCCUGAUCCAGCAACGCCGCGCGAGUGAUGACGGCCUUCGUGUUGUAAACCUCUUUCAGUACCGACGAAGCGCCCUGUCGGGUGGUGACGGUAGGUACAGAAGAAGGACCGGCCAACUACGUG
RNAcentral lists this ribosomal RNA (474 nucleotides) under uncultured bacterium. Its description in RNAcentral is "partial 16S ribosomal RNA". It matches the Rfam family "Bacterial small subunit ribosomal RNA", at positions 28 to 507 of the family's 1533-position model. The record is from RNAcentral.